RNAcentral lists this transfer RNA (90 nucleotides) under Chloroflexota bacterium. RNAcentral's name for it is "Chloroflexi bacterium (freshwater metagenome) tRNA-Ser". It matches the Rfam family "tRNA". Rfam says of the family: Transfer RNA (tRNA) molecules are approximately 80 nucleotides in length. Lineage: Bacteria; Bacillati; Chloroflexota. The record is from RNAcentral.
GGAGGGGUCGCAUAGUCUGGUCUAGUGCGUCCGACUCGAAAUCGGAUGAGCGGCAACGCUCCGGGGGUUCGAAUCCCUCCCCCUCCGCCA